This 501-nucleotide ribosomal RNA is filed under the name uncultured bacterium. RNAcentral's name for it is "bacterial SSU rRNA". It matches the Rfam family "Bacterial small subunit ribosomal RNA", at positions 341 to 842 of the family's 1533-position model. The record is from RNAcentral.
ACGGGAGGCAGCAGUGAGGAAUAUUGGUCAAUGGGCGCUAGCCUGAACCAGCCAAGUAGCGUGAAGGAUGACUGCCCUAUGGGUUGUAAACUUCUUUUAUAUGGGAAUAAAGUGCAGUAUGUAUACUGCUUUGCAUGUACCUUAUGAAUAAGGAUCGGCUAACUCCGUGCCAGCAGCCGCGGUAAUACGGAGGAUCCGAGCGUUAUCCGGAUUUAUUGGGUUUAAAGGGAGCGUAGGCGGGUUGUUAAGUCAGUUGUGAAAGUUUGCGGCUCAACCGUAAAAUUGCAGUUGAUACUGGCAUCCUUGAGUACAGUAGAGGUAGGCGGAAUUCGUGGUGUAGCGGUGAAAUGCUUAGAUAUCACGAAGAACUCCGAUUGCGAAGGCAGCCUGCUGGACUGUAACUGACGCUGAUGCUCGAAAGUGUGGGUAUCAAACAGGAUUAGAUACCCUGGUAGUCCACACAGUAAACGAUGAAUACUCGCUGUUUGCGAUAUACAGUAA